Suricata suricatta (meerkat) is the source of this 343-nucleotide long non-coding RNA. RefSeq lists it as uncharacterized. The record is from RefSeq and is a predicted model, not a curated record. Lineage: Eukaryota; Metazoa; Chordata; Mammalia; Carnivora; Herpestidae. The transcript has 2 exons.
UGCGCGAGAGCCAGCAGAAGCAGGUGCAGGACCGCAUCGCCACCUUCGAGGAGGGCCGGCGGCUCCAGGAGGAGGCCCAGAAGCGGCGUGAGCGCAUUGAUGACAUCAAGAAGAAAAAGCUCCAAGAGCUGAGAGCCACCGGCCUCCCUGAGAAGUACUGCAUUGAAGCGGAGCGCAAAGCCAACCUCCUGCCAGCCGCCUCUGUGAAGUGAGGGGUGCCUCUGCGUCCCCCGGGACCCCUGCAGGGACAGGGGACUAGCUCUGCCCAGUCGCUGGGCGUCUGUGACUGCCGCUAGCCUAGACUUUUUAUAGGUACAGAUUAAAUUUAUUCUGCUUCUUUAAG